UGAGCUCCCCUGGCGCCUGUUUAUCAAAAACAUGGUUUUUUGAAAUAAUGAAAAAUUUAACCUGCUCCCUGCUGUAUGUAAAUAGCCGCAGUAUUUUGACUGUGCUAAGGUAGCAUAAUCAUUUGUCUUUUAAUUGAAGGCUGGAAUGAAAGGUUUGACGAAAUAAAUGCUGUCUUUAUUUUUUUUUUUGAAAUUAAUUAGCUGGUAAAAAGGCCAUUAUGAUUCUGUGGGACGAUAAGACCCUAUUAAGCUUAAUUUUAGAAUUUUACUGGGGCGGUAAUUUAAGAUUAGAAUCUUAAUAUAAAGGAGCAAGUAAUUAGUCCCAAUUAUUAUUGAGUGUUAGAAUAAGUUACUAUAGGGAUAACAGCUUAAUUUUUUUAAUGAGUACUUAUUUUAAAAAAAGUUUGUGACCUCGAUGUUGAAUUAAGAUUUCUGUUUGGUGAAGUACCUAAAUUAAAAGGUCUGUUCAACCUUUAAAUUUUUACGUGAUCUGAGUUCAAACCGGCCAGGGGAAACUA
This 518-nucleotide ribosomal RNA is filed under the name Liphistius indra. RNAcentral's name for it is "partial large subunit ribosomal RNA". It matches the Rfam family "Bacterial large subunit ribosomal RNA", at positions 1778 to 2640 of the family's 2925-position model. The record is from RNAcentral. Lineage: Eukaryota; Metazoa; Arthropoda; Arachnida; Araneae; Liphistiidae.